GACGAACGCUGGCGGCGUGCUUAACACAUGCAAGUCGAACGGAAAGGCCCUGCUUUUGUGGGGUGCUCGAGUGGCGAACGGGUGAGUAACACGUGAGUAACCUGCCCUUGACUUUGGGAUAACUUCAGGAAACUGGGGCUAAUACCGGAUAGGAGCUCCUGCUGCAUGGUGGGGGUUGGACAGUUUCGGCGGUUGGGGAUGGACUCGCGGCUUAUCAGCUUGUUGGUGGGGUAGUGGCUUACCAAGGCUUUGACGGGUAGCCGGCCUGAGAGGGUGACCGGCCACAUUGGGACUGAGAUACGGCCCAGACUCCUACGGGAGGCAGCGGUGGAGAAUAUUGCACAGUGGGCGGAAGCCUGAUGCGGCGACUCCGCGUGCGGGAUGACGGCCUUCGGGUUGUAAACCGCUUUCGCCUGUGACGAAGCGUGAGUGACGGUAAUGGGUAAAGAAGCACCGGCUAACUACGUG
RNAcentral lists this ribosomal RNA (468 nucleotides) under uncultured bacterium. Its description in RNAcentral is "partial 16S ribosomal RNA". It matches the Rfam family "Bacterial small subunit ribosomal RNA", at positions 28 to 507 of the family's 1533-position model. The record is from RNAcentral.